GUGAUUAUGAAAGGUUGCCUUCUGUGCUGGCUGCGGCAAGUGCACGUUGGUGGCUUUCAUCCAAACCCCUGUGCACCUCUGGCCUCUUGCUAGCUUCGGCUGGCUGAGGAUUUUACACCCCAACUCGAAUGUAAUGAAAACUAUUGUUGUGCGCAAGCACUAACUAAUGUA
Molecule: unclassified non-coding RNA, 171 nt
Filed under: uncultured Sebacina
Lineage: Eukaryota; Fungi; Basidiomycota; Agaricomycetes; Sebacinales; Sebacinaceae
Description: sequence contains ITS1
Source: RNAcentral